CGUCAUCUUUCUCUGAAUCGGGUCGCCUCGACUGAAGCUACGCAAACGGAGAGCGCUGCUUCCUUCUUCCCUGGCGCAUUCCACUUGCCUUCUCGGAAGGCAGGUGAGCUUGGACUUGCAAGAUCGACCUUUUUUGUCCCUUUUUGUGCGAGAUUACCGAUGUUCUCGGUUCUCGACACUUUUUGGUUUCUGCACGCUACUUACAUCUGCAUAUUUUUGUACCAAACCUACAAUUGUCCGUCGCAAAUGUGGAAUGAAUCUAGGUGUCAAACCCAUCGCUUUAUCAAGUUAGAACAAGGGAUCAAGGAAAUCCAGGUUCUGGUUAGGGUAUCCCAUGUCAUGUCGACGCGGAUCGCAGAGGAUAACCCUAGAGUUUGUGUGGCAAAGAUCUCAAUGGGGUCUAUUUGAAGGUACUGCUUCUCGCUCUUCCGGCCAGAGGACAAUGUACGCCGCCGAAUGCACUUCAUCCAUGCCGUCAAGGGGACAGUAGCUCCUGCAUCAGAUUAUGCACCAUUUGGUAACGGAUCGAUCGAUCGGUUUUAGACGAUGCAAUGUAGUCGAUACUAUUGUAAUUUAUCUUUUUGUUUCCUGGCUUAUGAAAUCAUAUGAGCCAUUGCUAACAGAUGAAGCUUUAGUGAUCAUUUAUUAGCUCAAUCAAAUCUUUCACAACCUUAAGCUAACUUUGAGGGAUUGGUCAGCACCAGUAGAUUGCUUUGAAGGCACAAACACAAGCCAAAAUUGAAGGAUUCACAGAUGUUACAUAUCUUGAUUCUGUUAAGACGAAAUAUUGGGGGUGUAAAGGGGGAUGCCAUGUCAACACAAGUUGCAUCAGGAACUAUUUUAUGAGGGAUCAAACGCAAAAGUAUCAUCUGAAAUUGCUAUUGAUCAGGUGACGCAUGUCGACCCAGCAGAAUAAACCGGCGCCGCCUUCCAGGCACCCGAUACCCAUCGCCUCCAGCCCCUGCACCAGCCUCCGCCGCCGCUCCCUCAGCCGCCUCUGGUUCUCCGCAAUGUACCUC
Zingiber officinale is the source of this 1019-nucleotide long non-coding RNA. RefSeq lists it as uncharacterized. The record is from RefSeq and is a predicted model, not a curated record. NCBI's taxonomy places the organism in Eukaryota, Viridiplantae, Streptophyta, Magnoliopsida, Zingiberales, Zingiberaceae. The transcript has 4 exons.